CCUACGGGAGGCAGCAGUGGGGAAUCUUGCGCAAUGGCCGAAAGGCUGACGCAGCGACGCCGCGUGUGGGAGGACGCCCUUCGGGGUGUAAACCACUGUUGCCCGGGACGAACAUCCCCUUUCGAGGGGACUGACGGUACCGGGUGAGGAAGCACCGGCUAA
RNAcentral lists this ribosomal RNA (162 nucleotides) under uncultured soil bacterium. RNAcentral's name for it is "partial 16S ribosomal RNA". It matches the Rfam family "Bacterial small subunit ribosomal RNA", at positions 338 to 500 of the family's 1533-position model. The record is from RNAcentral.